UACAGAGGUCCCGAGCGUUGUUCGGAUUCAUUGGGCGUAAAGGGUGCGUAGGCGGCGGGGUUAGUUUGAUGUGAAAUCCCGGGGCUCAACCCUGGAAUUGCAUUGAAUACUACCUUGCUAGAGUACCGGAGAGGAAACUGGAAUUUACGGUGUAGCAGUGAAAUGCGUAGAGAUCGUAAGGAAGACCAGUGGCGAAGGCGAGUUUCUGGACGGUAACUGACGCUGAGGCACGAAGGCCAGGGGAGCAAACGUG
Molecule: ribosomal RNA, 253 nt
Filed under: uncultured bacterium
Lineage: Bacteria
Description: partial 16S ribosomal RNA
Rfam family: Bacterial small subunit ribosomal RNA
Source: RNAcentral